UUUACAGGAUCAGACACUUUACACAUGCCACACACUUUAUCUAUGUGCAAUGUCUCACAUACCCUCAAGACUAACCUAACCAGACAAAACUCCAUUUUCCAGUAUCUAACUAUAGUUAACCCACCCUAACAACACGUGUCUCGAAUUAGAAUGUCAAAACAAAAAAAUCAAAACCACAAUCUCUCUCCCUACGAUUUUGAAAGUAGAUCUCCCAAAUCGCAAACCCUAGUUUCACUUCAUCCCCAUUUCACCUCCGUCUGAUUAAUCGAUCCUUGUUCUCCUCCGUCGGAUUCAUCGAUCCUGUUUCACCAUCGAGCCGGAAUCAUGAGGAAACCACGUAACAAGAAGAAAUCGAAGGAAACCAAGUGGAUGGAUGAUAGUUACCUUAAUUGUUUAUUUUCUUUCGUUGGAGAAGUAAGUAUGUGCUUUACUCUUAUUUUUCCUCUUUUCAAAAAAAAAAUUGUGUGUUUCUUUGUUUAUGUACAAAGUCUUCUUAUUUUGUGGAUUAGAUUUAUUUUGUUCAUUGAUGGUUUUGUUCAUUGUUU
RNAcentral lists this long non-coding RNA (545 nucleotides) under Brassica rapa (field mustard). Its description in RNAcentral is "long non-coding RNA (BRAP_LNC002094)". Lineage: Eukaryota; Viridiplantae; Streptophyta; Magnoliopsida; Brassicales; Brassicaceae. The record is from RNAcentral.